This is a non-coding RNA of Pantherophis guttatus, 816 nucleotides long. The record is from RefSeq and is a predicted model, not a curated record. Lineage: Eukaryota; Metazoa; Chordata; Lepidosauria; Squamata; Colubridae.
AAGUGUGAAUACCGAAGUUUUUCAUACAUUAUAUCCACCAACCUGAAGAAAAUCUCAGCUAGUACUAGAGAAAGCAUUGGCACUUAGAAUCUGUACACACCACCUUUAGAAUGUCCAUUUUAUGAAAGAUCUUCUAAAUGAAGUUGAAGACUUUCUUUAUAGCAAGUUAUUCAACAAGUAAUUUUAACAUGCUACUAUAAUCAGUCAAGAGUAUGCUUUAAUCCUUUUAGUAAUUUCCUACUGAUUAGUUUUGUAUUUUGAUUUUUAAUGUUCCUUUUAAUUGCAAGGACUUUUUAGAAAAAUUACCAUUUCUGUUCUUAGCUGCCUUUAACUCCCAACAGGAAAGAGGCAGUCUGUCUUUUCCAGGAUCCUUUUCCAACUUUCCUUCAUAGAUUUCACAUUUUCGGGACGGGGGCAUGGCCAGCAUCGUGGUGAAACAUGUGUGCUUCGGGAGCUCCUGGGGGACCAUUGAUAUCUCAUCCAUUUGGGGUCUUUAUUGACCGAAACUGUCCUGUAGGGACAGUGAACAAGAGAGGCACGGACUGGCUAACACAGGGAAGUUGCAAGUUCCCUAGCUAAUCGGGAGAAGCCUUUCAUACCGGAUGGCUGAGAAAGUGGCCAUAAGUGCUGCUAAGAAGCUGGGACAGCCACAACUGAAGCGAGAAAGCAAAAGACAGAGUGGAUCAUCUGGGUGAGAAAUUGGCUUUUUAUAUGUACAGUUCCUUUCAUAACCGCCUGGAAUUAGCACAAAGUAAAAAGAAGCGACACAAAAAGAGGAGGGGAGAGUGAGCCUGUGUCGGCUCUCUGCCUCUAGCA